Molecule: transfer RNA, 74 nt
Filed under: bacterium TMED178
Lineage: Bacteria
Description: tRNA-Arg
Rfam family: tRNA
About the family: Transfer RNA (tRNA) molecules are approximately 80 nucleotides in length. Their secondary structure includes four short double-helical elements and three loops (D, anti-codon, and T loops).
Source: RNAcentral
GCCCGUGUGGCGUAAUUGGCUAACGCAUCUGACUUCUAAUCAGGGGAUUAUGGGUUCGAGUCCCAUCAUGGGCU